CGAAUAUAAACGGCGCGUCCCGGAGCAGUUUCGCGCUGUUGCGGAGUUGUUUCUGUUGCUACUUGUGAGAAUCGCUGAGAUGUCCGGCCGCGGGAAGCAGGGCGGGAAGGCGCGGGCCAAGGCCAAGUCGCGCUCGUCGCGGGCCGGGCUGCAGUUCCCCGUGGGCCGUGUGCACCGGCUGCUGCGCAAGGGCAACUACGCGGAGCGGGUGGGCGCCGGCGCCCCGGUGUACCUGGCUGCCGUGCUGGAGUACCUGACGGCCGAGAUCCUGGAGCUGGCGGGCAACGCGGCCCGCGACAACAAGAAGACGCGCAUCAUCCCCCGCCACCUGCAGCUGGCCAUCCGCAACGACGAGGAGCUCAACAAGCUGCUGGGCAAGGUGACGAUCGCGCAGGGCGGCGUGCUGCCCAACAUCCAGGCCGUGCUGCUGCCCAAGAAGACCGACAGCCACAAGAAGGAGAGAGGAAUGUGAAAACGCCCUGUCGACAGCAAUCUGCCACCUCUGGCCCAUGUGAAUGGGACGCCUCAGGGACUCUAACGAGCCGGUAAAAGGCAUCACAUUCCCCGCGCCCAUCCCGGCUCGUCCAAAGCUCGGCCCGCCCAGCUCCCACGCUGACAGGGCAGCUGCCACGGCACAUCCAUCCUCGCCCGUCGCGCUUGUGGAAAGGGUUUUAUUCUUUGAGCCGAGGGAAGAAGAAAACGAAUCAAAACACUACAAGGGCUUUUAAUAUCAACUAAACAGCAUUGGCUUUACUGCGACAUUUAAUCCCGUGAGUUUAAUUUGGGCGCAUUAAGGGAGAAAAGUUCGGGCUGAAGGUGAGUUAUCUCGUCGCUGUAGUGGAUGAUCGAGCAGACAGUCCCUGCCAGGGCCCCUCGUUUGUCCAGCGACGAUGAAACCCUCCGGGUUUGUCAGUCAUGAAAAACUCGCACUCCCCGCACCAGUGCCAGAUCUAAAGGAUUGAUGCACUUCCUGGGAAGCAGGGAGCUGAUGUCCUAUUGCGAACGAGUGGACCGAAGGCGUGUGGUAUGACACGGGACUGGUUCGAGGAAAGAAGUAAGUAGGAAGGCCGGGCUGGGCGGAGGACCAGAUGGAUGAGAUGAGCGACUCCUUGCAGGGGUGGGAGGCUGAGGAGGUACCCGCUCUGCGGCAUUCUCCACCCUCCAGCACUGCAAGAGGCGCCUGAGAACCACAGGGGGAAAAAAAGGAUCUGAUAAUCACCGGGAGGGGCAGAGCAGGGCCUUGGAUUUUUAAAUCCAGAAACAAGCUAUUUCCUUUCACCUUUUCACCAAAUAAAGUAAUUCAAACUCUAAAAUUCUUAAGAAAUAAAACUGUAGGGUAAGUGGAAGAGUACAAAUUCUUUAGUUCAGAUAAAUGCUGUUAAUAACCUUAGUUCUGAAGCUUAUAAUGUCCUCUGUUUAUACUUUUCGACAUAUGGUCUCACAUAUUUGCACAAAGCAAAUAUUCUCAGGUGGAAAAUACUGUAAAAAACCCCUCACAAAAUCAAACAAAUAAAAUCCCAAUAAACCAAAAUUUAACUGCCAUCAUGGUCUUAUGAAAAGCGUUAAUCCCACAGAUUGUCUUUUAGAAACCCUCAUUGUUUGAUUUUUGUCCCAAACACACCAUUAGAAGGUGUGAUUACAAAUCUGAAGUACAAUGCCUGCCCAUUUCAGGAGUGUUUAUGUGGCAUUUAAAUAUUGGUUAAGGCUAAAACUCCAGGAGCUAAAUAUGCCUAACACUAUUGUGAUCAUUUAACUUCUAUGGGAUUUGUACCAGCGAUUUCAAAAGGCAGAAUUUGGAAGUCCUUGCAUAUAGGGAGAGGAAGUGACUCAAAUACAUUGUCUGGGCUCCUUAAUCCAGCCCAGCUGAGCCUAGGCACCUGGGUUUGCCUGUGGUGCUUAGAGCACAGGAGGAGGCAGCAUCAUUUGAAUAUGUAUUUUGAUGUAAAGAAAGAUUUGGGCUAAUUCGUUCCUAUGGGAAUUCUUGUCUUCUUUUUUUAAGCAGGAUGAUGAAAGAUGCUAAUCUUGUUGUGUUCCCAGUGCAUAAGAUAAAAAAACCCCAAAAAUUAAAAAUAAAAUAAUAUGGAGUGCUCAGAUUGUUUCCCAUUGGAGUGUCUGCUGCUUGCUACUAAAGCAAAAGGAGAAUCAUAGCUCUGAUACUGCACAAAGGUAGUGCAAAUCCUUUAUCCUGUUUGAAAUCCAAAUUUCAUCAAUCUCUUCUUAUUUUGGGAAUUAUUACUUCAAUUUUCCUACAAUCCUGUGUGCAGAAUCUACAUGCAAUGUGAGCAGGACUUCAAGUGCAAAAACAUUGUAGAUUUUACUGAUAAUGGGAAUUUCAAUAUAUUCUCACACUUCUUCCACACACAAAAUACUUAUUUUCAAGUUUUAAAAUGCAAAUAGGUUCCAAAUUGCCUCUUGAGCCUCUCUCUGUAACUAAUGAAUGAAAGAACCUUUGUGGUUCAUGCUUAGCACAAUUUUUGACAAGGAAUGGUUUUGGACCAAGAUUGAGUUCUUGGACACAAAAUUUAGUUAUUUGCAGCUACUAAAGAAAAACUAACCAAAGUGAAAAACAAACAAACCAAACCCGGGAUCUGUGAUCCCAGUCGGUGAAGAAAAAGCUACCCCUGGUUAUUGCAACCCUCCUGUUAUAGAAAGUAUAAAAAUUCAAGUAAUUUCAUCAAAUAGUUAUUUUUAAGUAAAAUUCAUAGGUGAGUUAGCAUAACUAAGCAAAACUAAGCUGCUCCCAAAGAGAAGAACAUGCAUGAGAAAUCAGGGACAAUGAGUGGUAACAAGGGGGGUUCUUUAAAUCCAUGCACCUGUAAGCAAUAAAAUGUCUAAGAACAUUGUUGGGAAUGAUUGCUUCAGAGACGAAAAGAAUUUGUUGUAUUAACCAUUAGGCUGUUUGCUAUCCUGAACCCCCAUAACUUUCUGGUCCUGAGUGCUAGAUAAUCAGUACCAUUCUGGUUCAGAACACCAAAUAACCAAUAGCCUAAAUCAGCUAGUUGGCCAAGUGAUUUUGAAAUACAUAUGAAUAUGUCUAACUUGUGUAAUAAAGGACCAAUAGAUAAGAGUGAUGUAAUGUGUAAAAGUAACAACGAAUGAAAGUAAAGGGUAAAUCUGAUGAGCAAUUAUAAGCAGUCUUUUAUGCAUAGCAAUAAAGAACAAAAAAUGUUGAGUAUAAAUAUCUGUUAAUUUUGAUGCUUCAUUGGACAUUCUUUGGGAACAAUCCCGUGCUUAUCUAAGUUUAGAUAAGUUUUUCUUCCCCAGCAGAUUUGCAACACUCCUUGCUUCUUUGCAGGUAUGGAGCUGGGAAGGGAGAAGGGCUGUUCCCAGCUAUAUUCUACUCUACUUACAGCCUUCUUCUCCAGUGAGUUUUGUGUCACGUCUUGAGCUGUGUUAUGCUUUGAUACAGCAUAAUACCAUGACCAGUUUUUCAGAGCUCAAGGACUCAGCUUUUCCCUUUAUGAUCAGAACUAGGCAUAUUUCCUUUACUGGCCCAAAGCAUUACAUCAAGGCAUAUAAAACAAAAUCCUUUGCUGUAGUUAAUACUUUCUCCUUAGGUGAUAAUUAUUUUGAAAUAUAUUGUUUUCUAUUAAAGCUGGAAAAGAUAGUGUCUGGGAAACUAACCUAACAACACUCAAUACUCCUGAGUAUUGAGUAAGGAUAUCUCUAGUCAUUAAGAAAAACAAUUUCAUUUUGUAAGUAGGUGAGUUGAUACUGAUUUACUCCUUUAAAAAAAAAAAAAAAGAGCAGGAAGUAGCAUAAAAUUGCUACAGACAGUAGGUGAUUUGUUCAGGUUUUUGAUCAAGUGUAUGGCACCUGUUUACCAUUUUUUGAGUCACUAUUCAGUCCAUUAACUAGAGAAUACAGAUAUUUGAUUAUCCAGAUGAUGUAUUUCACAUUUGCAUAAAUAAAAGCACAAUUUAAAAAAAAGAAGAUGGCUAAAACCCCCAAAUUUUACAUAGGUAAAAUGCUGACCUACAGAAGAUGUAAAUCUUUCUAAGCAUGCCACUAACUUUAUUAUUCUAUUAAAAAUAAGACAGGGGAGGUUUCUGUAACUGUUUGGAUUGUUCUUCAGCAUCCUUUAUUAAUAGAUUUUCACUGCAGGACUAAACUGUAAUAUAACUAAUAAUUUGACAUGCAAGUAGUUACUGAUAUUAAAAAAACCGUAUUUUGACAAAAAUGCUUGUAUAACAAAAAAUAAAUAUAUUCUGUAUUUCAGUUGCUGGGAAUAAAGAGAUAUUCUGAAGAUAGACAUGGAGGGCAGAUAAAAAUUGUGUGAUUGUUUAAAGACUAUAUUCUAACAUUCACAGUAUCAAGAAUUAUUAGGAUUAAUAGCCUUGCUUUACACUUAAUAGCGAAAAUAGUCGAAGCCUUAGGUCACAACAACUGACUGAGAGUAAACUUUUUGAUAAAACUCAUGUCAUAAACACAAAGCUAGCUGAAACUGGCAGAUGCAAACAGAAUGAAGGACCUAGGAAAUAAUUCCAAGAGAAUGAGAUAACUUCAGGUCAGCCCAGUGACCUGGUAAGAAAUCAACCAUCAGAACUAAGUGAUUGGACUUGGGGAUUGGGUGAUAUGGGUAUAACUGGGAAGUGUGACCUGUUGUAAGAGUCCCUCUUUGAAGGCACCCAGCUCGAGCUACUCUGAAUGUCAGGUGAAAAAAACCUACUUACUCAGCAGAUUUGAGACAUUUUCUUUGAGCAGGAACUUAGGGCUGAGCCUUGUUGAGGUAACAUCCACAUAAUUCUUACCAUGGUCUGCAUAAUUCCUGCUACACCAGGGUAAUGUGCUUGAACACCAUUCCAGCUUAUGGUUGCUAGGUGAUGCCAUCCAAGUAGAGUGGUUUUAAGAACACAAAGGAUGCUGUUUUUAACUGAAUAGGAAAAAAUGUUAAAGAACAAAAUGAUUGAGAAAUAUACUGUCAUAUGAUUUUACAUUAACAUAAAUUGCUUUAUUAAUUUCAAUUGUUUACCUUGCUGUGGGAUUCAAUUGCCAUGCUUCAUAUUCUUGCUGAGCCUAAAUCCUACAACUUUUACCUCUGGUGAAAAGAACAAGUACAGAAAAUAUUCCACAAGAGCUGGCUUUUGUAAUUUUAGGGACAUUGGCCUCAGCACUGAUACAAAAAAAUAAGAUCUUAUGAUGGGUGUUCACAUUAUAGCCUUAUCAUGCAGACUGAGAUUGGAAGAAGCAAUUGUAAUCAACAUUUUCUUUUCUAUUGAAUUAAGAGUUUCAGGACUAGGGAAAAAA
Molecule: RNA transcript, 5247 nt
Organism: Colius striatus (speckled mousebird)
Lineage: Eukaryota; Metazoa; Chordata; Aves; Coliiformes; Coliidae
Gene name: histone H2A-IV-like
Exons: 3
Source: RefSeq, a predicted model, not a curated record